UACAGAGGGUGCGAGCGUUAAUCGGAAUUACUGGGCGUAAAGCGUGCGUAGACGGCUAUUUAAGUCGGGUGUGAAAGCCCCGGGCUCAACCUGGGAAUUGCAUCCGAGACUGAGUAGCUAGGGUGCGGUAGAGGGAAGCGGAAUUUCCGGUGUAGCGGUAAAAUGCGUAGAUAUCGGAGGGAACAUCAGUGGCGAAAGCGGCUUCCUGGACCAGCACCGACGUUCAGGCACGAAGGCGUGGGGAGCAAACAGG
This 253-nucleotide ribosomal RNA is filed under the name uncultured bacterium. Its description in RNAcentral is "partial 16S ribosomal RNA". It matches the Rfam family "Bacterial small subunit ribosomal RNA", at positions 524 to 776 of the family's 1533-position model. The record is from RNAcentral.